Molecule: long non-coding RNA, 3890 nt
Filed under: Glycine max (soybean)
Lineage: Eukaryota; Viridiplantae; Streptophyta; Magnoliopsida; Fabales; Fabaceae
Description: long non-coding RNA (GMAX_LNC002082)
Source: RNAcentral
AUUUAUCUGGCUUUUAUAUUUCCAUCAAGAAAUGAAUUAUCACCACCUUCAUUUAGGCCUUCAACCCAAGGCAAGGUUAAAAUCUCAAAUCGUUGAACAAAGAAUGAUCCUUCUUCCUCAAUCACAUGCCUAAUUUCUUCAACUGUAGGUUCAUACACUGGUAUGUUAAAGGAGUCCAAUUUUUCUUCUUCAAUCAAACCCUGCUGGGUAUAUAUUCAUGAAUAUAAUGUGUAAUAUUUUAAAGACUUAGUUAAUUUCAAGAGAUACCUAAUGACAAUUAAUGAAAAAAUUGUUAUUUACCUCCAAGAACAUGUCAUUGAGUUUUAGACUAACUAAUUCGCAACCAAUUCUUCUAGGAGUUUCAUGAUUGCCGAGAACCACCAAGACCAUUGCUCCUCCUGGCACAAGUUCCUCCGAACGUGAUUUCAGAAACAAUUUAAAAUCUUGUUGAAACUGCUUAACGUAAGCUUUGUAUAUCUCUGGAGGGCUUGUGCUAACUAUGUGACAAAUGGCCCUUGUUAAGUGAUUCUGCCUCCUUAGUCAACCCCAAUAACACAUCCUACAACCAAAAUAUGAGAUAUAUAUAUAUAUAUAUAUAUAUAUAUAUAAUCAAUCAUUUAGGGUGUACUUGCUUUGUUUACUUCAUUUUUAACAUGUAUAUUUUUACUUUACAGCCAUUUCUUAAUCCCAAAAGAAAACAAAAUAAAGUGAAAACCAUUGCACAUUAAUUUAGAAAUAGAAACAGAAAACAAACCAAACACAAAGUUUUGGUCGACCAUAACAUGUUAAUCAGCUUAGAGGAAAACAAAAAAGAGAUUUGACCUGGGAAAGCCAGUGUAGACUGUUGGAGGAAUGAAAUAGGUUUAUGGAAUUACUGGGAAAGAGCCUCCCAUAGAAGGAUCCAGGGGUUGCAUUAACAAAGCAUGGACCAAACUUGUGUCCCUUAUCUUCUACCAAUAUUGUAUAGAAAUUUGGAAGUGACUUGAAGAUGGUAUUGAAUCCGUUUCCAAAUAAAUCAUUGAGAUAAAAUUGGAAUUUUGGUGGUUCACGAUUCAAGCUAGUGCAAGCGGUAUUGACAAUGUCAAUAAUAUUUGAUAUCACCAGAAGUGCAUUUGGUCCUACAGAGCAACCUAAGUUUGCCACUUUCAUGCAGUUUGGAGAAAAAUCACGAUAUAGUCUCAUUAUAGUUUCUUCAAGUAUGGGUUUGGCUUUAAGCAUUAGUUUUUUCUGCAAUAAAUUAAAAUAGAAGUUAGAUCCAUGUAGAAGAAAAGGAGACAAAUUAAUAUAAUGAUAAAACAAGAUAGUACUUGUAGCAAGCAGUUGUUUGUAUAACUCCUUUCUCCCUUGCCACCAUUCAUGUGAAGCAAUAGCUUUCUUUCGGUUGAUGCACUGAAUAAACCCACCCACCCACACACACACAUAUAUAUAUUCUACUUCUACAUUCAAAUUCUGGAAAAUAGAAGAGGAAAUACUAACAAGAGUUAGUCUAGCGAAAGAGACUAGUCUCUCGUAAUGUACCGAACCAAGUUUAAACCAAGUUUUAAAGAAAGAUAGAUAUCUACAGAAAAUCAAAAAAAGAAAGGAAAAGAUAAGUAUGGAUUCAAUUCAGCUCCUUUCUCCCACAUUCAAUGCAUCAGAUAAGGGUUAGGACCUCCCCACCAACAAAAAUUAAAAUAAGAACAUAUAUAAAAAUUGAUAUUUAAAAGAAAAAGCACUGUUUCCAUUUUGGGAUGGAGGCUUAUCUUCUUUGGAUCCCAUACCCUCCAUUUUAUUACAAUAUCUUCAUCCCCUCGUUAUUCAAGUGCUUACGUUGAUAUUAUUAUACUCUGUCUUAAUCUUUUUUAAGCCCUCCCCAGUCAUUGUUGUCAAAAUUAUUCUAUACUACAAUAUUAUAUCUUUCCUGUGCACACAAAAAAAAUAUUAUACCUUUCCUUAUUAUAUCUUUCGAUUCCUUAUCAAUCUUCAUUGUGUUAGUAAAUAUCAAAUCAGAUAUGGUUGUAUACGUUACAACUCAAGAGCGCACUCUUUUCUUUCACAGACUGGCUCUGUCAUUUUAUUUUUUCUUUUAAAUGAUUGUCAUUGUCUCUUUUAUUUGUCGAUUUAAACUCUACUAGAAAAUUCAGUAGGAAAAGGUUACUACAUAUCAUGUAGCUACAUCUCUUGCUUAAUUUUUUACAACGCAUGUUUGUUGCUAGUAUUUAUAGACCCUUCUGGAUUGAUAAUCUGGUUAAUUUCACAGGGAAAACUUGGCUUAGAUGAGUUUAAUUGCAGUGAUCAAUUUUCAAACAAGUCUGCUGAUGAUGAUGAUGAUGUUACACCUAGUUUAAUUGCAGUCUUCAAUUUUCCUAUUAGACUGCAACUGCAAGGAACAUAGUAGCAGAAAGGCAAUAAUGUAACAGCAUGGAAGCAGCCAUUCCAAAUUCCCAAUUGGUCCCUGGAUCUGCGUGAAUCAGCCCAACAAUUUUAAAAUGAAACAAAGAAUGUAUUUCAUGACCUACGUGUUAAUAGGCACAACUUAGCAUCCUAGGCCAAAUUGAAAGCAUGCAUGAAUAGAGACGCCCCUAAGGUUUGAAGGCAUGACUCAGUCAAAACAUCCAUUUACCAUACCCAACUACUUAACAUGUUACGCGAAAUUGAUAAAUUGAACUCUCACAUAAAAAUUUUGUUGGGUAAUCAACGGCUUCCAUAAAUAAAAUUACUCAUACCCACAAAAGAUAGUGAUAACAUACAAAUAUUACACCGUAAAAAAAUAAUAACAAACAGAAGAAUUUAGCAUGAUUCGACACCUCUUACCUAUGUCUACCUAAUCGUCUCAAAAAAUACUUUAUUAUCAUAAAAAUAAUUACAAGAUUAUAACACACCCCAAAUUGUGUAUCACCCUACAAACUCGAAUACUCUACUCAAUAGUCACAAGAAAUGACAACUCACGAAAAGACAUUUUUCUUUCAAUAAAGUGACUUUGAUUCACAAUCUCUCUUCUCAGACACUCUCUAUUUAUCGUGAAGAUUGUCACCAACUAUAAUAAAUAAGUUCUCUUGAAAGUUGAAACAAAAAUAGUUUCAAUGCAUCUAUUCAACUAAGGUUCAUCUAAUAAAAUACAAUCUUUCACUUUGCAUUUAAGUCACUUAAACCUUGGUGAUAAAAAUCAAAUUUUUAAUAUGCAUGUAACUUAUCUUUUGACUUGAAACUCUGCAAAUUUUAAUAAAUUCAAACUCAUAAUUACUUUCAUGAUUUUGUGUAUUUUUCCUUUCAAUUUGUUUCAAGCAUUUCCCCUUUAUUUUCAAUUUUUUCCAAAUUGUGUUCAUCUGAUAUUAUACUAUGCACUUAAUUAUAAGAUUUUAUCUCAUAUUUUUCAAGUAGAAACAUAGGUAUUACGAUUCAUUUUUAUGAUCUGUGACAUACUAAUAUAUAUAUAGAUCUUAAGCUUGAACUAGAUCAGCCUCUUCUAUACGCCUUAACUUUAUUUCACCAGAACAAAACAGGUUCACAGAGGAAGAAAUUAAAAACUAGUAUUUAAAUAUUCUAUUGAGCAACACCUCUUCAAGCAUUUUUUGUCAUGGAUAUCACAAAAGUAGUAGACUCCAAUUUCUCCACUUCCAUCAGUUGCGCAAGUUUCUUUUCAUACCUGAUGAAUACUUCAAUUAUAACUUCUCUUCCAAACUUUGCAGACAAGAGAGGCUCCAUUAUUGCUCUUGCGACCUUGGCCAUGAAUUGGGCUUUUAUAUUUGCAUCAACACCUUCAUUUAAGCCUUCAUCCCAAGGCAAGAUUAAAAUCUCUAAUUGUUGAAGAAAGAAUGACCCUUCUUCCUGAAUCACAUGCCUAAUUUCUUCAACUGUAGGUUCAUACACUGGUAUGUUAAAGGAGUCCAAUUUUUCUUCUUCAAUCAAAC